UAGGAAAGUCCAAUACUUAUUAGGCAUAUACACUUGAAUAUAUAUAUAUAUUCAAUAAUUAUAAAAAUAUAAGGAUGUUAACAGAAACUAAAAUUAUAUAAAAUACUUAUAAGUAAUAAUAAAAUAAUAGCGAACAAGAAUCCUAUGUUAAGUUUUUAUUUAGAAUUAUUAAAGUUAAACAGAAACUGGCUUAA
This 194-nucleotide non-coding RNA is filed under the name Penicillium expansum. The record is from RNAcentral. Lineage: Eukaryota; Fungi; Ascomycota; Eurotiomycetes; Eurotiales; Aspergillaceae.